This is a long non-coding RNA of Stomoxys calcitrans (stable fly), 1021 nucleotides long. RefSeq lists it as uncharacterized. The transcript has 2 exons. The record is from RefSeq and is a predicted model, not a curated record. Lineage: Eukaryota; Metazoa; Arthropoda; Insecta; Diptera; Muscidae.
GAAAUUUUGCUCGCUAACGAUCAAAUGUGUCGCGUCCUGAAAGCAGACGUCUUCAAAAAUGACCAUUGCUCAAAGUACUGUCUUCGGUUGGACAAUAUCCGGAGUAUGUCAGUACUAAUGUUGCAUUGUUGCAAGGGCGGCGGCAUGUUGAAUUGUGUUCAACAAACUAUCAAAGCAAAACUUUAAGAAUUUGAAUUUUCUAGCAUUUAGUGCAAGUCACUAUGUGAAACUUCAUUAAUUUCCCAUUUUACAUACAUAUUUAUAAAGAUAUGGAAACUCUUGAUCCAAUCUCAAACAAAUGAAUAAAAGUUUUUACUCAAUUGGAUAAUUAGUAUCCAUCUUAGCGUUUAUUCCAUAUACGGUUCUAGCUAAUUUUAAAUUACAUGUACUUUUUAAUUUCAAUGCUCGCUGGCUUCCUAUAUUGUAUCCAUUGUGCAUUGACUUACAAGCAGCCGAAGCGGUAAGAAGCAGCGAGCUCAAUAAAACCUCAAACAGCAUUCUGAAACCCUUGUGUUUUAUUUCCUUACUCUCUUUCCAUAUCGUACGGCAAACUUGCAAUCUUGGAGUUUCCAAAUGUUAAUACAGUCCAUUUGCAUAAUUCUUGUACAAUUGUUAUACUGUUAGCCAAGCGAUAUACCAUUUUCGUAGCAUGGCAUUUCAGUAAAAGCUCUUUAAUUGUCGAAAAUUAAUAUUCAAAACAUAAUUUUGUUCCACAUAAAGUAAAAGAAUUAUAAAUUCAAAUUUGAAGUUGCAUGCGUCCGGUUAGACGUCACAUCAAGAUGAGGUUGUCCCACAGUCGUAAGGUGAGGGAAAGAGUGAAUACGUACGAUCGUAAAAAAAAAAACCAAAAUGAAUGUGUAAAAUAUUCAACAACAAUAAUUGCAAAUCCCCGAAAAUGAAACAAAACCCCAUGUAGUCAGUAAUAGAGAACAACAAAUGCCUUUGGUUAAAUCAAAUAAAUCAAAGAAAAUAAAGAAUAAUUCAACUAUUAUGCUCAUGAACAACAGGAGCAACAUUCGCA